This 74-nucleotide transfer RNA is filed under the name Anaerolineae bacterium. RNAcentral describes it as "tRNA-His". It matches the Rfam family "tRNA". From Rfam's summary of the family: Transfer RNA (tRNA) molecules are approximately 80 nucleotides in length. Their secondary structure includes four short double-helical elements and three loops (D, anti-codon, and T loops). Lineage: Bacteria; Bacillati; Chloroflexota; Anaerolineae. The record is from RNAcentral.
GCGGCUGUAGCUCAAUGGCAGAGCGUCGCACUGUGGAUGCGAAUGUUGCGGGUUCGACCCCCGUCAGCCGCCCA